GCAGUCAUGGCCUACUGGUUAGGGCUUCAGGCUUGGUACCGAAGGGUUGCCGGUUCGAUCCCCGACUCGUAGGA
Molecule: transfer RNA, 74 nt
Filed under: Alosa alosa (allis shad)
Lineage: Eukaryota; Metazoa; Chordata; Actinopteri; Clupeiformes; Clupeidae
Description: tRNA-OTHER
Source: RNAcentral